GGGAUCUAUGGAUAAAUGGAUUGUUAGAGGAAUGAAAGGAUGAAUGAUAGAUAUAAAUAGAUUUAUGAACAGAUGAUAGAAUGAAUGGAUGGAUGGAUGGAUGGAUGAAUGAAUGAUAUUGAUGAAUAUGCUAUGCAUGAAUGGGUGUGAAUGAAUCAUAUUGAUGAAUAUGCUAUACAUGAAUAGAUGAAUGAUUUUUAUGAAUGGAUGUAACGGCGUCUCGGUUGUCUUUUGAAAUCUUUAGGAGUAAUUCGUUGAAGGUUGAUUCUUGUGUGGAUGAAUGAUACUAGUGAAAGAUAAAAUGAGGCUAUUAUACUUGGAUGGAUGGUAAAAUUGUACGUAAGAUGGGAACACCCACCAGAUAAGCACGUAGUGAUUGAUUCCUACUCCUCUGUGAUAAAAAAAAUGUCUAUAAACGUUAAAGAGGCACAUUUGUUCCAUGAGGUAACUUUACACCAUGUUAAAACAGUUUUUGCAAGGCAUCAAAGAGUAAAAUAGUCAUAUUUAACGGUAAGGAUUCUUGAAUUUUAGACAGGCAGUGUUGAUGAAAGGGGUCAGGGGUCUAACGUUUGAAGUUUAAAUUUCUUUGAGCCCAUUUCGUCCCUGAUUCUAACUAUUUUCUAACAUGAGUCUUGUUAAAAGAAAAAGUUCCCUAUUGGACCCCCCCUAGUUCUGGUUCAGUGUUAGGCCUGAAAGCGCUGAGCUACCGCACCUCGUCCUAGCAGCAUUUUCUUGCAAGCACUGGUACUAGGAAUAUUGGAACUAAUUAAAAUAUCGAUGCUUAUCUUAAGGAGCGAUGCAUUAAUGUGUCGGAAUAAG
This 819-nucleotide long non-coding RNA is filed under the name Setaria viridis. Its description in RNAcentral is "long non-coding RNA (SVIR_LNC001584)". The record is from RNAcentral. Lineage: Eukaryota; Viridiplantae; Streptophyta; Magnoliopsida; Poales; Poaceae.